GCUGAAUUUAUCUAGGUCCACAAAGUGUCAAGCAGAAGCCAAGUCACCCUGUGAACCUUCCCGGGUGGUAAAGCUGGGAACCUAGCAGAUGCUCCAUCCAAGAAGUUGAAAGUUUCAGAACAAGAGAGACAACUGACACAGUCCCAGUCUCAAGCUGAGGGUCUGCAUACUUCCUGGAGAGUCCCUGAUAUGAGUCCACGUUCAAAGGCUGAACAACCUGGAGUCUGAUGUCAACAGGAGAAGGCAGCAGCAAAAAUGUGCACCCACUCAAGAAUGGAACUUGCAUACCAUGUCCAUGGACACUUCCUCCUUCUUCAGCUAUUUGUUCCGUCUGGACCCCCUACCUAUGGGACAGUGCUGCCACCCUAGGGGAAAGUCAACCUCCCUCCAUUUGCUGACCUGUAUGGCAACUAUCUCUGGGAACGGCCUCACAAACACUUAAAAAUGACCUGUACCAACUUCCUGGGUGUCUUUCAAUCCAGUCAUUUGACAGUCAACAUUAACCAUCAUCAAUAGGAAAAAGGUUGGUAAAACCA
Long non-coding RNA from Chinchilla lanigera (long-tailed chinchilla), 536 nucleotides. RefSeq lists it as uncharacterized. The transcript is spliced from 2 exons. Lineage: Eukaryota; Metazoa; Chordata; Mammalia; Rodentia; Chinchillidae. The record is from RefSeq and is a predicted model, not a curated record.